Molecule: regulatory RNA element, 59 nt
Rfam family: L31-Gammaproteobacteria ribosomal protein leader
Source: Rfam
CAUAUGGUACUAGACAGCUGAGUAGUAUGCUCUAGUGGCGAUAUGGCUUCGUUAGAGGU